RNAcentral lists this transfer RNA (79 nucleotides) under Cordylochernes scorpioides. Its description in RNAcentral is "tRNA-Thr". The record is from RNAcentral. Lineage: Eukaryota; Metazoa; Arthropoda; Arachnida; Pseudoscorpiones; Chernetidae.
AGUAUCCAGGGAUGGGAAUCGAACCCACAGUGUUCCGCUUACCGGGAAGAUGCCAUGUCCACUAGGCACACAUGGUUAC